AGCCAGUUGGCGUAAGGGUUUGAAUGUUGGACCAUGACUCUGGAGUCCAGGGUUCAAUUCCCAGCUUGGCUA
Molecule: non-coding RNA, 72 nt
Organism: Phrynosoma platyrhinos (Desert horned lizard)
Lineage: Eukaryota; Metazoa; Chordata; Lepidosauria; Squamata; Phrynosomatidae
Source: the annotation of a GenBank genome assembly